Molecule: long non-coding RNA, 517 nt
Organism: Poecilia latipinna (sailfin molly)
Lineage: Eukaryota; Metazoa; Chordata; Actinopteri; Cyprinodontiformes; Poeciliidae
Exons: 2
Source: RefSeq, a predicted model, not a curated record
AAAAAUUAUUAUUAUAUCUAACAAGCAACGGCCGUGCGCUACAAAAAAAAAAAAAACAUAAAAUAAAAUAAUGAUGAAGUGGUGCAGCUCACUGAAACGGGGAGCAAAAGAAGUAAGGCUUAUUUCAUCCGUCAAAUUUCUGUCUUUUCCAGGAGGAAGAUUCGGGAGGCCGGACUCAACCCUGACAGGUCGAGGUCAACGGUUACCGAAGCAGAACGACGUGGAGCUCUUGCUUUUUGAGGCGUUCAGAUAUUCUCUGAUUCUCCCCGGCGUUUGUAACUCAAUACUCCGUCCGUCUGCUGCGGGCUGCACAGGGGAGACCACACUGACUAACGUCUCGAUUCAGCAGAAUAAACAACGUUAGUGUUGAGGAGGAGACGUACUGUCUGGGGUUUGCCAACGGCACCUGCUGUGCCAGGUGGACGCAGCUUGGGAAGAAGAAAGAUGGACACGAGGGACAGAAGGACGCAGACAGAAAGUAGCAAAGUAGGACAUAAGCUUGGCAAAGAAAACUAAG